RNAcentral lists this ribosomal RNA (253 nucleotides) under uncultured bacterium. RNAcentral describes it as "partial 16S ribosomal RNA". It matches the Rfam family "Bacterial small subunit ribosomal RNA", at positions 524 to 776 of the family's 1533-position model. The record is from RNAcentral.
UACGGAGGGUGCGAGCGUUAUCCGGAAUUACUGGGUUUAAAGGGUGCGUAGGCGGCUCUGUAAGUCAGGAGUGAAAGUUUGCGGCUCAACCGUAAAAUUGCUUUUGAUACUGCAUGGCUGGAAUUAGGAUGAGGUCAGCGGAAUGUGGCAUGUAGCGGUGAAAUGCAUAGAUAUGACACAGAACACCGAUUGCGAAGGCAGCUUACUAAGUCGUAACUGACGCUGAUGCACGAAAGCGUGGGGAGCAAACAGG